Gorilla gorilla gorilla (western lowland gorilla) is the source of this 550-nucleotide long non-coding RNA. RefSeq lists it as uncharacterized. The transcript is spliced from 3 exons. Lineage: Eukaryota; Metazoa; Chordata; Mammalia; Primates; Hominidae. The record is from RefSeq and is a predicted model, not a curated record.
CCAAGAGACCCUCUAUAACACGAAGGACCUGUGAGCUUAUGGGGGUGAGGUGGCAAAGAGAAGAAAUGCUGGGCAAACUUCAAGACUAACAAAUCACUGGGUGAUAAGCCGAUGGCUAUACAGAAUGAGAGAUGUAGGAGGCAGGCUGAGUCUGGAGAUGGGAGCUUGUCUGUACUGAAAAGGGUCCCAACAUACAGGUUCCCUGCCAGAUAGCAAGACUUUUCUAACAGCAAAGAAAAACAAAGGACUAAAGCUGUCUUGAGGCAAGGAAGAAGGAAGAAUAAGGUAUAUGUUCUACCAAGUGAGAAAAGACACAAGGGGAAAAUUCUGAGAGGCAGCAGGGGAAAAUUCUGAGAGGCAGCAGGUGUGAUCCAGAUGUUUUUCAGCAAGCAAAUGAAAGAAUUUGAAAAGAGCCCUGGUAUUCCUUGAACAUGCAUACCUUUCCCAGCGUGAGGGACAUGGACCGUGCCGUGCGAGGGACCCCAUCUUCUGCAGCAGGAGGGAGCAGAGAAGAGAACACAGGUGGAACAGAGUUGGCAAGACUGGGGGC